UCGAGAAUCUUCCGCAAUGGGCGAAAGCCUGACGGAGCGACACCGCGUGCAGGAUGACGGCCUUAGGGUUGUAAACUGCUGUCACGCCAUAGGAAUGGCCUAUCGUUAAUAGCGGUAGGUUUGACUAAAGCGAAAGGAAGCACCGGCUAACUCCGUGCCAGCAGCCGCGGUAAUACGGAGGGUGCAAACGUUGUUCGGAAUCACUGGGCAUAAAGAGCACGUAGGCGGCUUGUUAAGUUGGGUGUGAAAUCCCUCGGCUCAACCGAGGAACUGCAUCCGAUACUGACAGGCUAGAGGACGGUAGGGGCAAGUGGAACUCCAGGUGGAACGGUGAAAUGUGUAGAUAUCUGGAGGAACGCCGGUGGCGAAAGCGACUUGCUGGACCGUAUCUGACGCUGAGGUGCGAAAGCUAGGGUAGCGAACGGG
Molecule: ribosomal RNA, 426 nt
Filed under: uncultured bacterium
Lineage: Bacteria
Description: bacterial SSU rRNA
Rfam family: Bacterial small subunit ribosomal RNA
Source: RNAcentral